Long non-coding RNA from Humulus lupulus (European hop), 451 nucleotides. RefSeq lists it as uncharacterized. NCBI's taxonomy places the organism in Eukaryota, Viridiplantae, Streptophyta, Magnoliopsida, Rosales, Cannabaceae. The transcript is spliced from 3 exons. The record is from RefSeq and is a predicted model, not a curated record.
UCUUCCUCACUCUCUCAACCACCGAUCCUUCAACUUCAACUCCAAAUUCAAUCCCAAUUGACUCUCUUCUUCUCAGUCUCAACAUCAACCCCUCCCUCUCGACCUCACCUCCAAGCAGCUUCUCGACACCCUUCGUCGCCAGAAGGAUGAGUCCUCCGCGCUUCACAUCUUCGACUGGGCCUCGAAACAGCCUAAUUUCUCACCCACUACCUCCAUCUACCAGGAGAUUCUUCGCAAACUCACCAAGGUUGGCUCUUUCGAAUCCAUGACCAAUCUCCUUCUCGAUAUGAAGUGCUCCGCUUGCCCCGUCGAUAAAGGUUCGACUAGGUAUACGGCUAUGGUCAUAUGUAAGAGAAGAAGCCUCUCAUGGAAGGAAAGCUCCAAUUGAUCCUUUCACUCAUGAAAGUUGCAAGCCCUCUGCAUCUCAAGGUGUUCCACUUGGAGGCAUGGG